GCGCAGAUCACAUCUCUGGGUAUCAACUGCUUUGUGAGGAUGUGCACUAGAGGAAUCCGCCUAUCAGCACGUAGUUUAGGUCUUCAAACAUGGUCCAGACCUUUGGAUUGUGUUCCAUAUGCAAGGAUGAUACAGUAGUCCCUGUCAAAGCGUCCAUUGUUUGCAGACUGGAGAACCGCUGUAUGAAGAUGAAAGCAGCAUGUUUGAAAUGAGGCGAUCCGCUUCAGUGUCUCCUGGAAAGCCUCCAUGUAUUUUUGGAAUGUGGACACUCAUGUGAUAAACUACUUUUUGUGUUAAUUCCCAGAAUUCGUAUCCCCUAUUUUUCCACUGAAAUGUCAUCAUUUUGUGAUUUUGUAGAAAGUAUGAAAUAACUUUUUUUCUCAGAUAAACGAUAUAAAGUUAAGUAAAAAGUGACACAUUUUUAAUGGUAUAUCACAAAGUCAGUACCUCAUGAAACAUAUUUGGAGUUUUGACCUUCUCUUCCAACCCAUAAAUUACAACUUCAUGAAAUUUAUUUAUAAUAAUCAUUAUAAACAUAACAUUUUCUCUAAAACCUUCAAACUCGAUAAUUACUAUUCAAACUAAAAAUCAUAAAAUGAGAUAAAUUAUUAAGUAUCUUACUGAUUUGUGAAAAGUUACAGUUUCAUAUUUGGAAAUGUAAAAACAAAUCAGUUAGGUCGAGAAUAAACUGAAAACACCCAGAAGGAUUUGGUAAAUAAUUAUCAACGAAAAAUCCUAGAAUAAAAGUCUUUCAAAAUUGUUGUAUUUUUUCUGUGUAAAAUUGUACCAUCAUCAGGCUUUGCUUUUAGUUGUCCAGUCCUACCUUUUCUUUAUCUUUUGAUAUAAAAGCACCAAUAGAAAAGCACUGAGUCUCUCCUCCAAAUAAAGUGAAUAUUGGUGUUACCACCCAAGGAGGGGUUGUCUGCCCACUGCAUGACAUGCCUAUAGUCAAGAGACAAGGUGGUAGGAGGGAAAGAAUUUUAUUACAACUUGCUAGCAAGGGGGAAUAUGGCUGACUAAUGUCUGAAAGAAACAUCUUAAAGAACAAAGACUACAGGCAAAUUAUAUAGUGGGCUGGUCUCCAGGUGAGACAGACAUCUGCUCUUAGUUCCUGAUAAUCUUUUGUUUUACUAGACGUGCAUCAGAGACCAUCAGAGACCAGAGAAAUAUUCUAUACCCAGAUCUUUCCGUUGUUAUUGAUGAUGGCUAUCAGCAUAAACUCUCUGCAUGGGGGUCAUCACAUUCCUAAGGAACUCAAAAGAACAAAGUUAUCAACUUAUUGCAGCUAGGAGGGGCCAUAAAAUCUACAGAGCAUGCAUAUCUCCUGGAGAGUGAAUAUCCAGCUGGGUUAAUUAAUCAGGUGAUUCGAAGUUGCAAUAGGGUUUCUUUUUCUUUUUUUUUUUUUUUUCGCUUAAGGAAGAUUAGCCCUGGACUAACAUCUGUGCCAGUAUUCCUCCACUUUAUGUGUGGGUCGCUGCCACAGAAUGGCUGACGAGUGGUGUAGGUCCAUGCUCCAUAUCCGAACCCACAAACACAGACUGCCAAAGCAGAAUGCACUGAACUUAACCACUAUGCCACAGGGCUGGCCCCUACAAUAUAGCUUCUUUUCUACAAUAUGACUUUCCUUAUGUCAACCUUGUGUUGAGCUGGUAUCACUUGUUCUGAAGGAAUUCUAUAGAGACUAUUUACACCAAAUACUCCUCAAAGUAUAAUCAUUUUAAGUUUUACCUUAACUGUGUAGUUAAAGAUUGUUGCCUUUUAUUACCAGAAUAAAAGAUGAGUUUGAGAAAGAUUUGCUCUUCAGCCUAAAUUUAUAGCUAUUGCCAUACUAAUUCUGUAUAAUAAACCACCUGCAAAACUCAAUGACUCAUCAAUCACUUAUUCUCCCAGAUUUGUGAAUCUAUAGGUUGGUGUUUGCCUGAUCUUCAGCAGAGAAUCUGCUUCAGGCUGCAGUAAUGAGGCAGCUCUUCUCACUGCAUAUUGUUGAAUUGGUUC
Molecule: long non-coding RNA, 1995 nt
Organism: Equus caballus (horse)
Lineage: Eukaryota; Metazoa; Chordata; Mammalia; Perissodactyla; Equidae
Source: Ensembl